GGCAGCAUGGUCUUAGCUUGCUAAGGCUGAUGGCGACCGGCGCACGGGUGAGUAACACGUAUCCAACCUGCCGUCUACUCUUGGCCAGCCUUCUGAAAGGAAGAUUAAUCCAGGAUGGCAUCAUGAGUUCACAUGUCCGCAUGAUUAAAGGUAUUUUCCGGUAGACGAUGGGGAUGCGUUCCAUUAGAUAGUAGGCGGGGUAACGGCCCACCUAGUCAACGAUGGAUAGGGGUUCUGAGAGGAAGGUCCCCCACAUUGGAACUGAGACACGGUCCAAACUCCUACGGGAGGCAGCAGUGAGGAAUAUUGGUCAAUGGGCGAUGGCCUGAACCAGCCAAGUAGCGUGAAGGAUGACUGCCCUAUGGGUUGUAAACUUCUUUUAUAAAGGAAUAAAGUCGGGUAUGCAUACCCGUUUGCAUGUACUUUAUGAAUAAGGAUCGGCUAACUCCGUGCCAGCAGCCGCGGUAAUACGGAGGAUCCGAGCGUUAUCCGGAUUUAUUGGGUUUAAAGGGAGCGUAGAUGGAUGUUUAAGUCAGUUGUGAAAGUUUGCGGCUCAACCGUAAAAUUGCAGUUGAUACUGGAUGUCUUGAGUGCAGUUGAGGCAGGCGGAAUUCGUGGUGUAGCGGUGAAAUGCUUAGAUA
This 641-nucleotide ribosomal RNA is filed under the name uncultured Bacteroidales bacterium. Its description in RNAcentral is "bacterial SSU rRNA". It matches the Rfam family "Bacterial small subunit ribosomal RNA", at positions 68 to 696 of the family's 1533-position model. Lineage: Bacteria; Pseudomonadati; Bacteroidota; Bacteroidia; Bacteroidales. The record is from RNAcentral.